This 614-nucleotide ribosomal RNA is filed under the name Salmonella enterica. Its description in RNAcentral is "partial 23S ribosomal RNA". It matches the Rfam family "Bacterial large subunit ribosomal RNA", at positions 1 to 652 of the family's 2925-position model. Lineage: Bacteria; Pseudomonadati; Pseudomonadota; Gammaproteobacteria; Enterobacterales; Enterobacteriaceae. The record is from RNAcentral. RNAcentral also lists the same sequence under 1 other name.
GGUUAAGCGACUAAGCGUACACGGUGGAUGCCCUGGCAGUCAGAGGCGAUGAAGGACGUGCUAAUCUGCGAUAAGCGCCGGUAAGGUGAUAUGAACCGUUAUAACCGGCGAUUUCCGAAUGGGGAAACCCAGUGUGAUUCGUCACACUAUCAUUAACUGAAUCCAUAGGUUAAUGAGGCGAACCGGGGGAACUGAAACAUCUAAGUACCCCGAGGAAAAGAAAUCAACCGAGAUUCCCCCAGUAGCGGCGAGCGAACGGGGAGGAGCCCAGAGCCUGAAUCAGCAUGUGUGUUAGUGGAAGCGUCUGGAAAGGCGCGCGAUACAGGGUGACAGCCCCGUACACAAAAGCGCAUAUGCUGUGAGCUCGAUGAGUAGGGCGGGACACGUGGUAUCCUGUCUGAAUAUGGGGGGACCAUCCUCCAAGGCUAAAUACUCCUGACUGACCGAUAGUGAACCAGUACCGUGAGGGAAAGGCGAAAAGAACCCCGGCGAGGGGAGUGAAAAAGAACCUGAAACCGUGUACGUACAAGCAGUGGGAGCACAGGUUUACCUGUGUGACUGCGUACCUUUUGUAUAAUGGGUCAGCGACUUAUAUUCUGUAGCAAGGUUAACCG